UACGGAGGGGGCUAGCGUUGCUCGGAAUCACUGGGCGUAAAGGGUGCGUAGGCGGGUCUUUAAGUCAGGGGUGAAAUCCUGGAGCUCAACUCCAGAACUGCCUUUGAUACUGAGGAUCUUGAGUACGGGAGAGGUGAGUGGAACUGCGAGUGUAGAGGUGAAAUUCGUAGAUAUUCGCAAGAACACCAGUGGCGAAGGCGGCUCACUGGCCCGAUACUGACGCUGAGGCACGAAAGCGUGGGGAGCAAACAGG
RNAcentral lists this ribosomal RNA (253 nucleotides) under uncultured bacterium. RNAcentral's name for it is "partial 16S ribosomal RNA". It matches the Rfam family "Bacterial small subunit ribosomal RNA", at positions 524 to 776 of the family's 1533-position model. The record is from RNAcentral.